UUCGUUUCGUUUUUAUAGUUCAAAAUUUCGUUUUACUUGUCUUUACUACACUUGGAUCUGGAAGAGUUGUUAUUUAACUCGUGUUCUGAAUAGUGUCAGGGAUAAGCCAAUGAAACGGUCUGUUACGACGAGCUUUAGGCGUGUUUUUCACGGAACUGUGAGUAAUCCACUAGUAAGAUCAAUGCUAAUUGGUUAAUCAAAUGUCUGACGUCAUAGGGUCAUAAGUCGGUCUUUUGACCCCUGACGUGACCUAUCGCUAUAACUUGUCAGAUCUUCAUGUAGUGUAGGCCAUCGAAAGUAUAAAAAAAACGAAACGAAAUAUAGAUCUAUAUUUUAAUCAGAUUGUGGCAUGUCAAUACUCGAAGUCAGGGAAACGAGUAUGCCAAAUUUCACAUUGAUCUUGCUUGCAUUGGAGGGGCCUUCAGAAGAAGAGUAUCCCUUGGGGUCCUAGUCCUGGCCAAAACAUUGAGACAUAGAUAUGAGUUCUUGCUAGUAGGUGGUCUAUAGUCAAGCUUACUUUUGAAGACGAUAUUGUUACGCAUAUAAAGUACCCCUCCUCCACCACGGUGGCUUGGUGAGUAAGACGCUGACUCGCUAGCCUGGGGGUUCGAUGUUCGCUUCCGGUGUUGACAGAGAAAGUUCAUCAGGAUUUUCCGGCGUGGUUUCCCCUUGUCAGUGGUGCAGGACGGGGGGCCUGGCAAGGACAGCUGUCUAGUCGUUCGCAUGGGACGAAAACCCGAGGUCCCGUGUACACAUUGGCAUGCACGUAAAAGAUCCCUUGGCAGUUAGAAUCCGAUAUAAGGGUAGGCCGUAGCGCAGCUGACUGAGCUAAAUUUCCUUUAUAGUAAACUGCAUUACGUAUAUACCGGUCUUCAUUAGCCCAGUCGGAACAGUAGAACGUUAAACCCCAUUUCAUUUCCAAAGGGCGUGGUCACAGCUGAUUUUACAUAUACACGGAGAACAAGCUCCCAUAGGCGAGAAUAACUUAAAUAUUGAAUUAAACAAGCAUACCGAAAACAUAAAGGGCGUGUGUACGUCAGGAUUUAUUAGGAGGAUCACGUGGCUAAGCGGGUAAGACACUGGCUCGCUAGCCUGGAGGUCAGGUGUUCGAUCCCUGGAUUGGCCGAGAAAGUUCUACCAGAUUUUCCAGCGUGGUUUCCCCUUGUCAGAGAUGCAGGAUGGAGGGCCUGAGAAGGACAGCUGUCUAAUCGUUCGGAUGGGACGAAAAACAGAGGCCCCGUGUACACAUUGGCGUGCACGUAAAAGAUCCCUUGGCAGUUGGAAUUCGAUAUAAGAGUAGGCCGUAGCACCGCUGCCCGGGCAAAAUUUCCCUCAUAGCACACUGUAUGGCGUAUGCCCGUCUUCAUUAGCUCAGGUUAGGAGCAGAACAUUUCAUUUCAUUUCAGGAAUUUUUAAAAUCCAUUAUUGGUACAAGACGUGUUAUCUCCCUUUAUGACAAAUGUCGGCAAUUAUUGCAUACUGCACGCAGCGACCCAUCUGCGUCAUACUUCCCAGAAUGUGACACUGCCCUGAUUACCCGCCAUUUAAAACGCUCACGUGAUCAUUUUGGGGCGGGACUUAUCGACUAGACACCGUUCUGUUUAGACAACAGAGUAAAAAUAACCCAAGCACGUGUGUUUUAUGUAAACACGCCAUGUCGCUGACACUCGCGUAAAAGCGAUAUAUAAUAUGUGCUAUGGGUAAUAUUGCAAUAAAUUCUUUACCAUUGUAAACUGUCUUUAGAGUUUCAAUCUGUUUAUCUUUCAAAACAAGGUUAGAUACUCCUAAAUUUGUUUUCGCAAACAAAACCGCCUCUGUGAAAUUAUGUUUUAUGGGCGCCGCCAUAUUGAAUAAUUAGAGGACUAUUUUGUGAUUCGGCUUUGAUUAGUUUGACAUCUUUCAUACACACAGCGGCUAAAUAAACAUAUUUAAUUUCAUUCAAUAUGACAAUAGAAGAGAAAUAAAUACUUUUAAAAAUUUCUAAAAGCAUACUCAGUGUUUUCGACUAAAAUCGUCGAUGUAGGAAUUAAAAUGUCGGUUAAUUAGCUUAGGGCCUAUUCUCAGCCGGAGCUAGCUGUAGAUAGGCAGCCUAAGUUUGGGAUGCAAUUAUUGAAAACAGUAUUUCUAUCACGUUCCACACUGAUCCGCAGUGAAUAUUCGCAGGCUACUACAAUCACUGAGAGGGGUGACAUCGAUGCGACUUAAUAAGCCCCCAAUAUUAACUUUUUUCCUUCUGCAAUUGAAUCCUAGAACAUAUUGUUGAAAGAUGAGAAAAAUAUAUAAAAGUGGGCCUACCAGUUAAAGAUGGGUUUCCGCGUACAAACUGGGUGAUUUAAUGAUAUAUAUGGACCGAAAACAUAUUCAAACUAAUUAAUUUGUCAUAAUUAUGCUUCAAAUCCUUCUCAAACAUUGUAAUUGCGAAGGAAUGCCCUGCUAUUAAAAUUCGAUCAAACCAGGCCAUGUUUACGUCACGUCUUGGGAGUCAGAGGAGAAUUCAUUGCAUAUGUGGUAGUGUAUAUUUGUGUAUAUUUGUAUUUAUUGUAUCUUGAAUAUUUGUUGUAUUAUUGUCCCUUUAAUAUAUUAGUUAUUUAUGGUAUAUUUGGUGUUCGUUGUAUUGUCCCUUUAAUAGUCCAUCUCUAAGCUGGUUAAGAAUAUCUUUACAACAGCAAGUCUAAACUCUACUCACUUUUAACUCACUAAAAUAACCACAUCUCAGCUUCUCUUUCAAAUCUCACUUGCAACUUAACCUUGUUACAAGGAGGAUCACAUUCUGUCACUUGUCUUUGUGUCAUACUGUGUCUGUAUGGUAGCCAUAUUUAAGACAUCAACCCUAUUAUAAACUCCUAUUUUAUAGGAGUUUUUUUUAUAUGUAUACUAAAUUGAUGAUCCACAAUAAAAUCCUGAACCCAUGACCUGGUGUUUUGUUCGUCUUUGUGAAUAGAACCCUGCUACACAUACAUAAGACGAUGUUGUCUUUAAUCGCUUACUAUUUAUUACAAAUAUCGAAUCCUAAUUAAAUUCUCGGAUUAUCCACUACCCGCGUCUUUUUCCGUCAUUUUGAUCUCAGAAAGUAUUGUACGUUUAACUCUUCAUAAAGUUUAUCAACUUGUACAUCAAGCGCUCAAUGUUCGCUUGUGACCUUUGACAUCACGCGUGCAGAAGUUCUUAAUCGUCGGGCUGUUGAUUAGGGGAACCCUUACAUUUUUGUCCUGUAUACGCUCCAUGAGUGUUUUUCGGGGAAUCCAGUAUUUUUCUAGUAAGAUUGGAUAUCUCUACUUUCCAUAUAUACCAAA
This is a long non-coding RNA of Patella vulgata (common limpet), 3293 nucleotides long. RefSeq lists it as uncharacterized. The transcript is spliced from 3 exons. The record is from RefSeq and is a predicted model, not a curated record. Lineage: Eukaryota; Metazoa; Mollusca; Gastropoda; Patellidae.